CAGAGGGUUGGAUAGGGUAGUGAGGAGGUAAUGAAGAGGGUUGGAUGGGGUAGUGAGGUGGUAAUGAAGAGGGUUGGGUAGGGUAGUGAGGUGGUAAUGAAGAGGGUUGGAUAGGGUAGUGAGGAGGUAAUGAAGAGGGUUGGAUAGGGUAGUGAGGAGGUAAUGAAGAGGGUUGGAUAAGGUAGUGAGGAGGUAAUGAAGAGGGUUGGAUAGGGUAGUGAGGAGGUAAUGAAGAGGGUUGGAUAGGGUAGUGAGGAGGUAAUGAAGAGGGUUGGAUAAGGUAGUGAGGAGGUAAUGAAGAGGGUUGGAUAGGGUAAUGAGGAGGUAAUGCAGAGUGUUGGAUGGGGUAGUGAGGAGGUAAUGAAGAUGGUUGGAUAAGGUAGUGAGGAGGUAAUGAAGAGGGUUGGAUGGGGUAGUGAGGAGGUAAUGAGGAGGGUUGGAUAGGGUGGUGUGGAGGUAAUGAAGAGGUUUGGAUAGGGUAGUGUGGAGGUAAUGAAGAGGUUUGGAUAGGGUAGUGUGGAGGUAAUGAAGAGGGUUGGAUAGGGUAGUGAAGAGGUAAUGCAGAGUGUUGGAUGGGGUAGUGAGGAGGUAAUUAAGAGUGUUCGAUAGGGUAGUGUGGAGGUAAUGAAGAGGGUUGGAUAGGGUAGUGAGGAGGUAAUGAAGAGGGUAGUGAAGAGGUAAUGCAGAGUGUUGGAUGGGGUAGUGAGGUGGUAAUGAAGAGGGUUGGGUAGGGUAGUGAGGUGGUAAUGAAGAGGGUUGGAUAGGGUAGUGAGGAGGUAAUGAAGAGGGUAGUGAAGAGGUAAUGCAGAGUGUUGGAUGGGGUAGUGAGGUGGUAAUGAAGAGGGUUGGGUAGGGUAGUGAGGUGGUAAUGAAGAGGGUUGGAUAGGGUAGUGAGGAGGUAAUGAAGAGGGUAGUGAAGAGGUAAUGCAGAGUGUUGGAUGGGGUAGUGAGGUGGUAAUGAAGAGGGUUGGGUAGGGUAGUGAGGUGGUAAUGAAGAGGGUUGGAUAGGGUAGUGAGGAGGUAAUGAAGAGGGUAGUGAAGAGGUAAUGCAGAGUGUUGGAUGGGGUAGUGAGGUGGUAAUGAAGAGGGUUGGGUAGGGUAGUGAGGUGGUAAUGAAGAGGGUUGGAUAGGGUAGUGAGGAGGUAAUGAAGAGGGUAGUGAAGAGGUAAUGCAGAGUGUUGGAUGGGGUAGUGAGGUGGUAAUGAAGAGGGUUGGGUAGGGUAGUGAGGUGGUAAUGAAGAGGGUUGGAUAGGGUAGUGAGGAGGUAAUGAAGAGGGUUGGAUAGGGUAGUGAGGAGGUAAUGAAGAGGGUUGGAUAAGGUAGUGAGGAGGUAAUGAAGAGGGUUGGAUAGGGUAGUGAGGAGGUAAUGAAGAGGGUAGUGAAGAGGUAAUGCAGAGUGUUGGAUGGGGUAGUGAGGUGGUAAUGAAGAGGGUUGGGUAGGGUAGUGAGGUGGUAAUGAAGAGGGUUGGAUAGGGUAGUGAGGAGGUAAUGAAGAGGGUUGGAUAGGGUAGUGAGGAGGUAAUGAAGAGGGUUGGAUAAGGUAGUGAGGAGGUAAUGAAGAGGGUUGGAUAGGGUAAUGAGGAGGUAAUGCAGAGGGUUGGAUGGGGUAGUGAGGAGGUAAUGAAGAGGGUUGGAUAAGGUAGUGAGGAGGUAAUGAAGAGGGUUGGAUGGGGUAGUGAGGAGGUAAUGAGGAGGGUUGGAUAGGGUGGUGUGGAGGUAAUGAAGAGGUUUGGAUAGGGUAGUGUGGAGGUAAUGAAGAGGUUUGGAUAGGGUAGUGUGGAGGUAAUGAAGAGGGUUGGAUAGGGUAGUGAAGAGGUAAUGCAGAGUGUUGGAUGGGGUAGUGAGGAGGUAAUUAAGAGUGUUCGAUAGGGUAGUGUGGAGGUAAUGAAGAGGGUUGGAUAGGGUAGUGAGGAGGUAAUGAAGAGGGUAGUGAAGAGGUAAUGCAGAGUGUUGGAUGGGGUAGUGAGGAGGUAAUGAAGAGGGUUGGAUGGGGUAGUGUGGAGGUAAUGAAGAGGGUUGGAUAGGGUAAUGAGGAGGUAAUGCAGAGGGUUGGAUAAGGUAGUGAGGUGGUAAUGAAGAGGUUUGGAUAGCGUAGUGAGGUGGUAAUGAAGAGGGUUGGAUAGGGUAGUGUGGAGGUAAUGAAGAGGAUUGGAUAGGGUAGUGUAGAGGUAAUGAAGAGGGUUGGAUAGGGUAGUGAGGAGGUAAUGAGGAGGGUUGGAUAAGGUAGUGAGGAGGUAAUGAAGAGGGUUGGAUAGGGUAGUGAGGAGGUAAUGAAGAGGGUAGUGAAGAGGUAAUGCAGAGUGUUGGAUGGGGUAGUGAGGUGGUAAUGAAGAGGGUUGGAUAGGGUAAUGAGGAGGUAAUGAAGAGGGUUGGAUAGGGUAGUGAGGAGGUAAUGAGGAGGGUUGGAUAGGGUAGU
Coregonus clupeaformis (lake whitefish) is the source of this 2416-nucleotide long non-coding RNA. RefSeq lists it as uncharacterized. Lineage: Eukaryota; Metazoa; Chordata; Actinopteri; Salmoniformes; Salmonidae. The transcript has 3 exons. The record is from RefSeq and is a predicted model, not a curated record.